AAGCAUAUCAAUAAGCGGAGGAAAAGAAACCAACAGGGAUUGCCUUAGUAACGGCGAGUGAAGCGGCAACAGCUCAAAUUUGAAAUCUGGCCCUUUUAGGGUCCGAGUUGUAAUUUGCAGAGGGUGCUUUGGCGUUAGUAGCGAUCUAAGUUCCUUGGAACAGGACGUCACAGAGGGUGAGAAUCCCGUACGUGGUUGCUCUACUUUCGCCGUGUAAAGCCCCUUCGACGAGUCGAGUUGUUUGGGAAUGCAGCUCUAAAUGGGAGGUAAAUUUCUUCUAAAGCUAAAUACCGGCCAGAGACCGAUAGCGCACAAGUAGAGUGAUCGAAAGAUGAAAAGCACUUUGGAAAGAGAGUCAAAAAGCACGUGAAAUUGUUGAAAGGGAAGCGCUUGCAGCCAGACGUGCCUGUAGUUGCUCAUCCGGGCUUUUGCCCGGUGCACUCUUCUGCAGGCAGGCCAGCAUCAGUUUGGGCGGCUGGAUAAAGACCUCUGUCACGUACCUCCCUCCGGGGAGGCCUUAUAGGGGAGGUGUCAUGCAGCCAGCCCGGACUGAGGUCCGCGCAUCUGCUAGGAUGCUGGCGUAAUGGCUGUAAGCGGCCCGUCUUGAAACACGGACCAAGGAGUCUAACAUCUAUGCGAGUGUUUGGGUGUCAAGCCCGGGCGCGCAAUGAAAGUGAACGGAGGUGGGAACCCUUCGGGGCGCACCAUCGACCGAUCCUGAUGUCUUCGGAUGGAUUUGAGUAAGAGCAUAGCUGUUGGGACCCGAAAGAUGGUGAACUAUGCUUGAAUAGGGUGAAGCCAGAGGAAACUCUGGUGGAAGCUCGCAGCGGUUCUGACGUGCAAAUCGAUCGUCAAAUUUGGGCAUAGGGGCGAAAGACUAAUCGAACUAUCUAGUAGCUGGUUCCUGCCGAAGUUUCCCUCAGGAUAGCAGUAACGCAUUUCAGUUUUAUGAGGUAAAGCGAAUGAUUAGAGGCCUGGGGGUUGAAACAACCUUCACCUAUUCUCAAACUUUAAAUAUGUAAGAAGUCCUUGUUACUUGAUUGAACGUGGACAUUUGAAUGUAGCGUUACUAGUGGGCCAUUUUUGGUAAGCAGAACUGGCGAUGCGGGAUGAACCGAACGCGAGGUUAAGGUGCCAGAAUGCACGCUCAUCAGACACCACAAAAGGUGUUAGUUCAUCUAGACAGCAGGACGGUGGCCAUGGAAGUCGGAAUCCGCUAAGGAGUGUGUAACAACUCACCUGCCGAAUGAACUAGCCCUGAAAAUGGAUGGCGCUCAAGCGUGCUACCUAUACCUCGCCGCCAGGGCAAAAAUUACGCCCUGGCGAGUAGGCAGGCGUGGAGGCCCGUGACGAAGCCUUAGGAGUGAUCCUGGGUCGAACGGCCUCUAUCG
Molecule: ribosomal RNA, 1391 nt
Filed under: Pleosporales sp. MUT 4417
Lineage: Eukaryota; Fungi; Ascomycota; Dothideomycetes; Pleosporales
Description: eukaryotic LSU rRNA
Rfam family: Eukaryotic large subunit ribosomal RNA
Source: RNAcentral